Papaver somniferum (opium poppy) is the source of this 2424-nucleotide long non-coding RNA. RefSeq lists it as uncharacterized. The transcript has 5 exons. The record is from RefSeq and is a predicted model, not a curated record. NCBI's taxonomy places the organism in Eukaryota, Viridiplantae, Streptophyta, Magnoliopsida, Ranunculales, Papaveraceae.
GUCAAAGUUUCGUGUGUUUAAACUUUAAAUAGAGUCCGUAAAGUUGUUCUGAGUAUGUGAGAAAAACAAUACAAUUUGAAAUGAAAUCAAACAAGAGAAGAAUGUCUAACGACAUUUUAGACAUAUAAUCCUCUCAACAGGCAACAGUGCAGUAAUCAAUUUCCUCAUACGUUACCUGAGCAAUAUCACUUUCUAAUUUUCCCCUACAUAAACCCUACUAGAGGUAUAUCUUACCAUGUUUCAGACACAUACUCUCUCUAACACUGCUAGAUUUAGAUUGUUGUAUUAAGAAAAGAGGUGCCAUCCAUCUGAGAUUUUUGUGGAGAUUAUCGUUGCGUUGCACGCAAGCAUCCAUCUCAGGAAUAAAUGGUGUUGUUUAUGUGUUCGAUAUAUUUUCAUCGUCAAUCAAUUUAGCUGGAUAACCUGUACAGCGAACAAGGUGAAAACGACUCCUCGCAUGCAACUGAUGGAAUCAAUUUUCUGGAUAAUACUGCUAAAAAGUGUUGAAACUUUGUGAAUGUGAUGUCAUUUACUAGAUGAAUUUGGAACCCUUGGAGGAUGCAUCCUCAUCUUUUUUGGAGAGAUGAGGUUGAACAGUGACUGAAAAUUGCUUUCAUGGCAAGCCUUGCACGUCUGCAGUUGGAUCAAUGUCAAAAUAACUGCAAGCUUUUUAGUAAGUCCCUAGAAUUGUGCAUUUGUGGAUGAAACUUUGGCAUCUAAAGCACAACGACAACUAAAUAAGUACUCAUUUAUUAUGCUUCCCAUUUGGUAUUAGCUUUUCUCUUUGUUAUAUGGAAUGCAGAAAUUGAAUACUCUCAAAGAAUACGUAUCUGUAUUCUUGCAAAUUUUUAUCUCACCGAUCUUGUUGUAACAAACAUUUGUUUUAUCAGCAACUAAAACCUUUGUUUAAUUUCAUUUACAAUUCAUUUUUUGCAUUAUCUAGAAUAUUAAUCGAUCAUGUAAGAGAAUCAUUUGUUUGGACAAAAGUCAUUUUUGCUAAACUUUGUAACUCCAAGUCGCAGGUUGUUUGCAUUGAAUCUAUUCGAGUUUGGUAAGAGUUUUUAACCAAAGUGACUGUUUGUAUAUGGAUUAUUCAUCUAAAUUUUUUUGUUUGUAUAUGGAUUAUUCAUAUAAUUUUUUUAGAAGAUUUGCCAAUAUAUCACCCCAUUGCUGAAUUGGUGGAAUCAUUAGUUAAUUGCAUAAACUUAUCAAUGGCUUCCCACUACUUAACUUGAAACACGUCAAACAGAAAGUUAGUUGCAGGACGUCGUGCUGCGAUCGAUAGUUGAAUGCAGGUGACUGCUUAUUGUUUUGAAAUGCCUAUCAUUACCAUAUUCAUACAUAGGUUCCAUCUCUAUGCUUUAUAUUCAUUUUUAGCACAAAUUAGCAGUGAAUUAUUGUCAUAUAAUCAUUUGAUCCCUGAAAAGGGGAAAAUCUCCCUAUUACAUUUGCAUUCUACGCUAGCAACAUUCAAAAGCAUGUGCUUCUAUUAGGUAUACUAACCCUCUUUAGCUGAACUCAUGCGAGUUUUACAAGAUGGUUAUGUGGUAGUUGCUCUAGAUGAGAUUGGUAAAUCCCCUGUAAUAACUGAAUUAAGAGCUGGAAAUGAUAAAGUUGGUGUUACUAUUACUAUUGGAACUGUUGCUUAUGUAGCUCUUCGAAUUGUUAUAUAUGCAUGUAUUCUAUCCAGAAAUUUUUAUCAGUAAAUGUUGGUGCAUUAAGUACUCCCUUGGGCUCUGAGUCAAAACAUUAUUUAGAUUAGAAAUGGUAUACACAUUGCCUAUCCUAUUAGGUCAGCCGCUGAAUGCUUAGUUUCCUUAGCAUCUAAAUUUGUCAACAUUGUUCAGUGUAUCUUCUUUCAUUGUAGCCCUUGAAAAUAUUAAUGCCUUUAUCAACACCCACUGAUAUAUACUUGAUAAUUUUGUGAUUGUUCCUCUUUUAAUGGAUACAACUCUGAGAAUGUCCUCAUGAUAUUUUGGUGUGGUGGUUUACCGUCAAAUAUCUAUUGAAAAAUCACCCAAGGUCUCUUCUUUCUAGGCAUCAUUUCUCUGCUGAAUAUUAUGUUCAGGAAUUUUUUGAAAAUCACCCUAGGUUUUUUCGCUUCUUCAAUUUCACAUUGAGACUAAUUUUGGAUCUUGCUUUACAGUCGAGUCUGUUUAAAGUUUAUAUUUUGUUCAUCUUCAACAAGAAUGACAUGUUACUGGGAAUAUGCAGAGCAACAUAGUGAAACUACUUUUAAGUAUGAUUAAAAUGUUGUCUUUUUGUCUGUUCGUUUCUGUAGUUUGAUUUUGUUAAUGUAAUUUUUCAUUUGUAUUGGUUGCCAUUUUGGUUUACCUUGCUAUUUUUUUUGAAGAAAAUCAGGGCAAAAUUUAUCUUAAAGUUGUUCAAUGCCUAUUUAUAUUUUUAAUGGAUCAAGGAAAUGAA